Molecule: unclassified non-coding RNA, 329 nt
Filed under: soil metagenome
Description: partial contains 5.8S ribosomal RNA, internal transcribed spacer 2, and large subunit ribosomal RNA
Rfam family: 5.8S ribosomal RNA (bases 1-120)
Source: RNAcentral
GAUGAAGAACGCAGCGAAAUGCGAUAAGUAAUGCGAAUUGCAGAAUUCAGUGAGUCAUCGAAUCUUUGAACGCACAUUGCGCCCCUUGGUAUUCCGAGGGGCAUGCCUGUUCGAGCGUCAUUAUAACCCCUCAAGCUCAGCUUGGUGUUGGGGCCUGCUGCACUGGCAGCCCUUAAAAUCAGUGGCGGCGCCAUCUGGCUCUAAGCGUAGUAAUUCUUCUCGCUAUGGAGUCCUGGUGGAUGCUUGCCAUCAACCCCCAAUUUUUCUAUGGUUGACCUCGGAUCAGGUAGGGAUACCCGCUGAACUUAAGCAUAUCAAUAAGCGGAGGA